UUAAUCAUUCACAUCUAACCUUAUUUUCCCAUUGCACUUAAUCUAUGUGGUUGUUUUGAUAACUGUUCUAGGGAUGAUAUUGAGGAUCGAUCUGACUGAGAACCGAGAUUGUUAGCUUAGAUUUCAAUCGCCACGUGUUUGUUGUUCUCUACGACAGAUUGUAGGGGUGGAAGAGGAUAUCACAAUCGCAUGCGCCUCGAAGACGAUCGAUAAAAGACCACCAGGUCCGCUAUCGCAUGACGUCACGGGCCUGACAGCGAAAAGCCUCGAUAAUCAGCGAGCAAUCCCGAUGGUGACCGAGGCCUCUCGAAGCAACCCGCCUUCCAUCAGGUCGUAAACGCGACCGACAUCCUACCUUCCGUCGUUUUGACGUAUCCGUUGUUACGCAAAAAUUCGCAAGCUCAAUCUCUUUUUAUUAUAUUCCAUGUAAUCAUUAGUCUAGUGACAGAGGACCAACAAUUUAAACAGAACCUCAGUGAAUCAAUAACUGUCAUUAACAUCAGUGAGACUCAUUUUUAUAAAACACAUAAAAAGCUACGAAUAUGUGGAAAUUAUCGGGAAAAAGAAGUAUUUAAUGGUUGAAGAAAAAAAAGUACAGUGAAUUAAUGAAAUCUAGAGGGUAAUUUUAAAUUGAUAUCAAUUAGAGUGAAAUAAAAAAUAAAUAAAUGAAAAGACAGAUUAUUUUUGAUGAUUAAUUAAAUGAGAAUGGUAUAGUUGAGUAUAAAAAGGUGGCUGUAAAAUUAAAAAUAAAAAUAUAAAAGAAGAAUAAAAAAAAAAUAUAUAAUAAAUAGUGUCAAACAAUUGCAUUGCUGCAGCAAGAGUGGCGCAGCUGAGCUAGAGCAGUGUAUACGACGAAUCGGUGAGACCAUAUACAAACGGGUGGUUGGGUGGGUGGUUGAGCUAAUACGACCCACAGCCCUACAUUCAAGAACGACAACUAAGUAGUGCAGGUUAACCUCUAUAAGUCUACACACCCUCGUUGUAUUUUUUCACUUUAUUUAGCUGCUUUAACAUCAGAAUAGCAUUUUUAUUAUCAUCAUAACCUACUUAUUUAAGAAGGCCUAAUAAAAAAUAGCAUGAAAGUUGAUUAAUUAAAGGGGUUGAACGAGAGUUAGGGUUGGGAGUGGAACGGGAAAGUGACAAAAAGUGUGAAAAAAAUCAAGUGGUGACGCGUAGAAGGGAAGAAGAACGUCCCCGUGUUGGGGGUGGAAGACGAGGGGUGGUGGUGUUUGCUGGAUCUCCAGUUGGAUCACCAUCAUCUAGUGUGCCAGGUUACAGUGAAGGCAUUGGAAGAAUACCAGGUGGAUAUUGUGAUGUGUUGGAGCCCUCAAGUAGCCAUCGAUCACGCGAGAUCGUUGGUCGAUCGGUCGUGAGGGCACCAGGGAUUUUACCAACGGCCCGCGGGCUGGCCGGGAGUCCGGGUGACGACGAGGUCGGUGGAGGAUGGUGUGACCUCCGUCGUCAUCCCGCACGUAGACCUGGCGGUGGUGGUUUCGGGACAGAACGUCUACUUGAUUCUGAAGAAGACGAAGAAGAAGACGAAGAAGCGGAGGAGGGGGAGGAGGUGGGAGAGGCGGAGGACGAAGAGCUGGCGAUGUCGAGGCAGCCUCGUGGAGAUCGGGAAUUGAGUCGAGAUUUGAGAGAUAGAGAUUUACGUUCUGAUCAUCGGGAUCCUGAUCACGUUGGUGGUAGACGGCAUCGAGAUGUUGAUUUCGAGUAUGAACAUAGCACACCUGGUGCUGCUGCUUCUUCAACACAUCCAGCGAGGUCUAAUGGAAGGGCUUACGCAUUCACGGAGAAGAAAUGUGAUCGUGACAACCUCCAGUUGGUCAAUUUAAGUGUUCCCCCAAGAAGACAUAAUGUUGGCUCAGCGGACUCCAAUUAUUCACAACCAAGUUCCGAUCUUUCUCUGGACGAAGAAAAAGAGAGCUUACGUCGUGAAAAAGAGAAAACAGCACUCAGCCAGCUUGAAAAAGCUCGAACGAAGCCUGUAGCCUUUGCAGCCAGAACCAAUGUUAGCUAUGAUGGAUCCAUUGACGAUGAUUCGCCUGUCCAUGGAUCUGCUGUUAGUUUUAAUGUUCAUGACUUCCUUCAUAUUAAGGAAAAAUAUGAUAAUAACUGGUGGAUUGGAAGGCUCGUGAAAGAAGGUUCUGACGUGGGGUUCAUUCCAUCCCCCGCUAAGUUAGAUGCCCUCCGAGUCCAAGCAAGUGCGGCACGUGGCACAAAAGGUUUAUAUUCAGCACGUGGUGGAUCAUCGAGUAAUCUUGGGGAAAGUGGAAUGCCAUCGCGUGGGUCGACGCCACCUACACCUGGUGAUGAUAGCGACAGUGUUGGCAAUGUGAGACCUGGGAAAACAACGUUAACUACUCCGCCUGUCAAAGAGAAACGAAAGAAUUUUUUUAAGAAGCCGUCUUACGAAACUACAACACCAUACGAUGUUGUUCCAUCAAUGAGACCAAUAGUUAUAGUAGGACCAUCGUUGAAAGGAUAUGAAGUCACAGAUAUGAUGCAAAAGGCGUUAUUUGAUUUUUUGAAGCGAAGGUUUCCAGGACGGAUAAUCAUCACGAGGAUAACUCCAGACAUAUCGUUGGGGAAAAAGUCACUAUUAAAUAAUCCGACAAAACGAGCCAUUAUGGAACGAUCAACAAGCAGAAGUAGUUGUUUAGCAGAAGUUCAAGCUGAAAUAGAAAGAAUAUUUGAAUUAGCAAGAACACUUCAACUGGUUGUAUUAGAUUGUGAUACGAUUAAUCAUCCAUCACAAUUAGCAAAAACAAGCUUAGCGCCAAUCAUUGUCUACUUAAAAAUAUCCUCGCCAAAAGUUCUUCAGAGACUGAUUAAAUCUCGAGGUAAAUCACAAACUCGACAUCUAAAUGUACAGAUGGUCGCGGCGGAGAAGCUCGCCCAGUGUCCUCCUGAAAUGUUUGAUGUGAUAAUUGACGAGAAUCAGUUGGAUGAAGCUUGCGAACAUGUAGCUGAAUAUUUAGAGGCUUAUUGGAGAGCAACACAUCCCCCAGUUAUGGCAGUUCCUCGAACCAUUGCUACAGCAUCUGAUGCACCAGCAGAUGUUUUAGCACCAAGAGUGCCGUCAGCGGCUAUGUAUGGAUCUACACACUUAUAUCCACCACAGUGAUAAGUGGGACUUCGUAACCCGCGUUAGUCUUUUUCUUUUCUUUUCACCUUUUUUAUUUAUUUUCUCUUUCUAUUUGUCUCUCUUGCUCUCUUGCUCUUCUUUGCUCCAUUAUGUACACUAUCAGUGUUGUAUAUUUGCUGUACUACCAAUUGCUAUUUUACUACUGGAGUUUUUUUUUCUAAUGUUUUAUUAACUAUUUUUUUUUUUAUCCAUGUUUUUGUUUAAUUUAUAGCUUGACAUCUCGUGCGUUCAAUUUUUAAUUUCACUAUCAAUUAGCUGCAAGUAUCAAAUGAUUUUGUUUUUUUGUUUUUUUUGUUUUUUUUGAAAUAAAAAUGAGGGAUUUUUAAAGUCCAUGGGGGGAUAAAAGCAGGCAGGUAAGAGAGGCUUGGGAAGAGGUUUAGAAGAAUUAAUUAAGCUUGAUCUGAGAAGAAAUAAAAAAAAAAAAUGGUUUCAAUGUAAAUGAAAGAGAAUAAUUGAUAAAGUCGGCUUGUAAACAAUAAUUAGCAAUUCUAGAUUAAUUAGAAGGCAAAAGAACCAGUUUUAAUCGGAGUAGAGUUAGUUUUUGUGAACUUUUAACUCUUAUUUGUUAAUAUUCUUCUGUUCCCGGCUAUCAUAAAGCCGUGGACCCUGUGGCUGCUACGGGGAUCAUCCGGAAAGCAACAAGACUGAGCAUAAAGAAGUAAAAAAUGGCUCUUGACUGGAAUCAUCAUCGAGAUUUUGAAUCAAAUUGAGAAAGAGACCGUUCGCACCCAACUUGUGAGAGAGUCAUCGUUGCCUUAAUAGUUCUUCCUUAAAAUCAGUGGACCAAUUUAUCAUUGACAUGGGAUUGUGAAUUACUUCAUUAGCUGAUUGAUUAGCUGAAAUACUCUAGGGAGAAAGACGAGCACUUCUACACUUGUCUUUUAAAAUAGAAAUUGUUUUAUUGUUAAUCCAAAAUUAACGCGAAAAGAAUUUUUUGCAGUCGCGUUCAGGACAGAGUACUUAUGGUGGAGCACAUGCUAGUACAAGAAGAUCUAGAUUGGAACGAGGUGAUCGUGAAAGAGAACGAGAACGUGAGAGAGAACGUGA
This 4198-nucleotide unclassified non-coding RNA is filed under the name Chelonus insularis. RNAcentral describes it as "voltage-dependent L-type calcium channel subunit beta-2, transcript variant X17". The record is from RNAcentral. Lineage: Eukaryota; Metazoa; Arthropoda; Insecta; Hymenoptera; Braconidae.